This 391-nucleotide ribosomal RNA is filed under the name uncultured bacterium. RNAcentral describes it as "bacterial SSU rRNA". It matches the Rfam family "Bacterial small subunit ribosomal RNA", at positions 28 to 417 of the family's 1533-position model. The record is from RNAcentral.
GACGAACGCUGGCGGCGUGCUUAACACAUGCAAGUCGAACGGAAAGGCCCUGCUUUUGUGGGGUGCUCGAGUGGCGAACGGGUGAGUAACACGUGAGUAACCUGCCCUUGACUUUGGGAUAACUUCAGGAGACUGGGGCUAAUACCGGAUAGGAGCUCCUGCUGCAUGGUGGGGGUUGGAAAGUUUCGGCGGUUGGGGAUGGACUCGCGGCUUAUCAGCUUGUUGGUGGGGUAGUGGCUUACCAAGGCUUUGACGGGUAGCCGGCCUGAGAGGGUGACCGGCCACAUUGGGACUGAGAUACGGCCCAGACUCCUACGGGAGGCAGCAGUGGGGAAUAUUGCACAAUGGGCGGAAGCCUGAUGCAGCAACGCCGCGUGCGGGAUGACGGCCU